CAUAGCAAUGGAUGAAGAAAAUAAUUAAUGGAAAAAUCAUUAUUGUAGACAUCUGAUUAAAGAAAAAAAUAAAGAAAUUAAGACUAUGAAAUUCUUUUUCCUGGUUUUUUAACGGCGUCGAUUAUAACCAUAAUGAUGAAGAUGCGGUUUUUGAAUGAAAUUGAAAAAAUUGGCACAAAAUUUUGAAAACAUGACUAAUAAUAAACGUGAUGGUAAUUUCCGUUUGGACCAUGCUGCAUAUAAUACGGAUUCGCAUACCACAAACCAUUCUCACGUUUGGUAAACGGACGAUAAAACGCAGAAUAUGAAUGGUUUAUUUUAGCUUCAACAUUGUAUAGAGGGGGAAACUGGCAUGUUUCUUUACGAUUAUAAUGAUUUCUACUUUUUCGGUGAUUAAUUUGUGGAAUCCAAGUUUUAGCUCCGGGGUUCAUGCGAGAAGUAUUUGCUCGAACUUUCAAAGGAAGUUCUUUUCGGAGGUAUUCUUCUCGGGCUUUAAGCGCAACUAAUAAUUAAUAAUUUAACAUAAAUUAGUCUACUUACGCUCAUGCUUUAACUGCAUUACCGGAAUGCUCAUUGUGUCGACAGCAAUAGCCUUUUGCAAGCAAACUAUGAGAUGUGUUAAAAGAUGUGAAUGGUUCGUUUAUUACCUUCAAUUUUGUCUUCCAUUGUCAAAUUAUCAGCAUGUAUAUGUGAAAUCAAUUAUAAUAAAGGAUCUCAAAAUAAUUUGAAUAGUUUCCAAAAUUUCAAUCAAUUUCGAGAAAUGAUGGUAAAAGGAGCUAUAUUAUAUAUUUGUGCUUCGUCAAAACAAAAUGAGUUAUAAAUUGCACCGAUAUUACUUCUAUGACCAAUUUCAUAUUUGUUUACACAUGUGACUAUCAUGUGGUAAACAAUCGAUUCCAAAAGCGUUUUUGUAAACAACAACUACUACCUUUAUAAUCAAUCAUUAACGAGUAAAGGAAUUGAGGCUAACUCUUCAUAAUACAUAUUACCCGGUUCUCCAACAGCGCCUGUUUUCAUAAUACUUAGUUUAUCAAGUUCAAUAUUAUGAGCCCAAAGAAAUUGACCGUAUUUUUCCAUAAAAGGUUCCGAAUUAAAAAACCUGAUACGUCGCCCCUGGUAUUUUAUAUACCUGGAAUUUAACAAGGUGCAGUGUAGCUAGUUUUGUUAGCAAAAUUAUAAUUUGGUUAACAUCGCAUAAUGCGUACAGUAAGAGGUCUAGCGUCUUUAGU
Molecule: non-coding RNA, 1229 nt
Organism: Schizosaccharomyces pombe (fission yeast)
Lineage: Eukaryota; Fungi; Ascomycota; Schizosaccharomycetes; Schizosaccharomycetales; Schizosaccharomycetaceae
Source: the annotation of a GenBank genome assembly